This 1096-nucleotide long non-coding RNA is filed under the name Pogona vitticeps (central bearded dragon). RNAcentral describes it as "lncRNA (ENSPVIG00000000088.1)". Lineage: Eukaryota; Metazoa; Chordata; Lepidosauria; Squamata; Agamidae. The record is from RNAcentral.
GUUUUCUUUUUCUGAUGUUUUUUAACCAAAAGCCUUGGUGAAACUUUAGAUCUUGCAGAGGGGAGGGAAAUACCCGCUAAAGGAUGUGCCUUUUCCCUUUCAGCUCCUGGUCACCUUUGAGGAGGUGGCUGUGUCUUUCUCCCAAGAGGAGUGGGAUCACCUGGAUCCAGGACAGAGGACUCUCUACAAAGAGGUCAUGCUGGAGAAUUACAGGAAUGUGAUCUCUCUGGGUAAGGAUCCUGCCCUCUGAGGGCUUUCGCUUAGGCUUUCUGCUGCGCACUGUGAAGAUACCCCUGUGAAGGUCAUCUGGUGGUCCCUCCAUGACCCUUGGGGACCCUUCAUAGGAUUCAGGGUUCCAGAUGCUAAAAACUAAGAAAGGGAUGUAGGUGUGGCUGAGGGAACAUAAGAACCCAGCACCUGCUAGAACAAACCAGACCCCAUGAUCUCCAUCUCCUCCUGGACCCACCAUUCCCUUCCUCUCUGGGCCCCACGGUGGCCAUGUGUGUGCUCCAGCAAGAAGGGCGGGAGGACAUAAGCAUAAACCCCCUCUCUCUUUUGACAGUGAUGUGUACUUAAUCGUACUUGUGGUCACUUAAGGGGGGGGCAUAUUUUGCAUUUGGCAGAAUUCAGCUGGCCUUUUUCUACCCCCCAAGUCCCCAGGCCUGUCCUUAUCUUUUAUCUGGAGGAAGGAGAUGAUCCAUUUCCCCAGGACCCAUCAGUCAGAGACGGAUCAGCUGGUGGCUGCUCUGGGAACACACAUGGAGGGUCACCUCAUGAGUUUCCUAAGCGAGGAGCUGGAAAGAGGGAAGAAACGAAGGUGCAAAAGGUGGGUGAGACUUGGAGGGAGAGACCCUCAGUGCUGCAAGCCAAAUGCAACCCGGACUUCUGUGCAGUGCAAGGUUGAUCUGGAAGGCAAGGCCAGGUCUGCACUUGGAAGGAGGGUGGGUGGAGGUGGGUGUGGAUGGAAAGAUACCCCUCUGUGAAGAGACCUCUAGCACAACUUCCCUGCAGUGCAGGCCUAGGAGAGAGAACCGUCUGUUACAUACAGCACUGAUGUUCCCUGUCUGUCAUGGGUUUGGAGGGAAAGUUCCAUCCU